GGUCCGCUGCGCGGUUCGUUAGGUCGUUUUAUCUCUGGGGCUAUAUCCAUACCUCCGGGAGCUGCCUCUGUCGGGACCGUGGUCCCGGUACGCGGCACCCACCUGCACUGGCAGGCCACAGAGGAUAUUCAGAACCGACGGCCCUGCGGCACCGC
Molecule: non-coding RNA, 155 nt
Filed under: Rhodospirillaceae bacterium
Lineage: Bacteria; Pseudomonadati; Pseudomonadota; Alphaproteobacteria; Rhodospirillales; Rhodospirillaceae
Description: 6S RNA
Rfam family: 6S / SsrS RNA
About the family: E. coli 6S RNA was the first non coding RNA to be sequenced, but its function was unknown until recently. It consists of 184 nucleotides that fold into an extended hairpin structure with a large single-stranded internal bulge.
Source: RNAcentral